Molecule: ribosomal RNA, 301 nt
Filed under: uncultured bacterium
Lineage: Bacteria
Description: partial 16S ribosomal RNA
Rfam family: Bacterial small subunit ribosomal RNA
Source: RNAcentral
CAGUCGCCGCGGUAAUACGAAGGGUGCAAGCGUUACUCGGAAUUACUGGGCGUAAAGCGUGCGUAGGUGGUGGUUUAAGUCCGUUGUGAAAGCCCUGGGCUCAACCUGGGAAUUGCAGUGGAUACUGGGUCACUAGAGUGUGGUAGAGGAUAGUGGAAUUUCCGGUGUAGCAGUGAAAUGCGUAGAGAUCGGAAGGAACAUCUGUGGCGAAGGCGACUAUCUGGGCCAACACUGACACUGAGGCACGAAAGCGUGGGGAGCAAACAGGAUUAGAUACCCGAGUAGUCCCUGUCUCUUAACA